GCCCUCUCCUCCUCGGCCUCCUCCUCGAUCUCGCCGUCGUCGGACUCACCAAAUCAAUCUUCCGCCGUGCCCGCCCGUCCUACAACCAUUCCUCUAUGUCAGCCGUAGUCGCAAUCGACCACUACUCCUUCCCCAGCGGACAUUCAACAAGAGUCUUCCUCGUCGCCUCGUUGAUCUCUCUCUCAGCUGCUGCGAUCCAGGCCGCUCUGAUCGAGCUGAAGUCUGGCGGAGGAUUAGUCGAGCGGUGGAUCGUCGGGGAGAGAGUGGUGGAGAAUGUGGUGAUUGGUGUUUUUGCUUGGGCGGCGAUCACAGCGUCGUCCAGGGUUGCUCUCGGGCGGCAUUUUUUCUUUGAUGUUGUGGCUGGGUCGUGCUUGGGAGUUGUUGAAGGUUACAUUGCUUUUCGAUUCUUGCGGUUUGAGGAUUUCAUGAGGUAAAAGCUUGCAGCAACAUUGCUAUCUCAAUCGAAAUGCAAAUAGUCCCAAUUUCCUUAGCUGUACUUGUAAUUCGACUUGCACUUGGGAUUUUGGUCAUUCGUUGUUCAUUGGGUUGAAGAAAAGAUUGUUUCUUUACUUUGUCUGCAGCACUUUACUUUAUCAGAAAGUUGGCGAGGCUGCAAGUUGAGUGCUUCUGGAUUUGUUGGCUGGGAAAAUGGGAUGCACCCUCAGUCUGAUGAUCAGUCCUCAUUGAAGUAGAUUGAAGGUUGAGGUAUACUAACUUGAGCAAUUGACUUGGCUUUUCAAGUUUUGGUUACGUUUGCGAUCGGUUUAUUGAACCUUGAAGUUGAAGAAGAUCAUCGUUGUUUAGUUGUGUAUCAUUAUGUAUUCAUUAUCAAGUGUAUAUCGUUUUAACGACCACAGUUGAUCGUUAUAUCGGGACCGCUACAGUUCAAAUAUGUUUGAUUGUUUCACUGUCGUGAAAACUACUACAUUAGUCGACAUGCUCAUUAUGAGCUCAAACCACUUCCUUUCUUCCACUGCUUCUGCUGUUGGUUGAACUUGAGGAAUCCUGAGGAAAAUUUCUGUGUAUGAUGCUUUGUUUCUGUGCCCAGAAGUAAGGUGUGUUCCUCAGGAUUCAUUAGAGGUCAGGAUUCAUUUGGGGGACGGUUCGCUGAAAAACCAUCGGCUAGAAACCCAGCAGACUGAGAAAUAUUCAUUAAAAACAGUACAGGAACGAGAAUGAGAGCGAAAGGUAGGAAUCUUUUGCACGAUUGACAGCAACUCAGUCCACAUUCGUGUGACCGGUGCUCUGUUACCACUUGUCGGCACCGGAUCCCCUCAACUCAUCAACUCCUCCAAUGUGAACCUUAAUUUUUCUCCGAUCGAAAUGGAAUAUGGAAACACUCAAAUGCGAUGUUAUGGCCUUUAAGCUGAGGUUCUCAGACUUCAAGCCUCUCCUGUAUUAUUAGUUUGUAUGAAAAAUAAUUUGGACUGUUGAUUUGUACAAUCCAAGUCUACAUCUUACGGGCUUGCUUCACUUCGUCGAGUGUCUUUCAACUCGAUCGGUACUCCCUGUCUCUGCUUCCGCCGCUAUACGAUCGAAAAAGUGUUUUCAUAUUUUCAUGUGUAUACAAUUCAUUAGUUUGGCAUUAAUUUGGAUAACUUAUAGCUGCAGUAGAAUGUGAAUCCAUAUCAUUCUUUCUGCCAAGCAAUUAUUAGCAUGAUUGGACCUUUAUUUUCUGAACAAUUCCUAAAAGACUGCAUACUUGCAUAUAUCCAUAUAUAAACUUCAAUCAUUAUAUGAAAAGACUUGCUUUAUUUGCCAAUGUGAACAUUUCCUCAAUUUCCUUUUCAAAAAAAAAAUAUCGGCCACAGCCGUGAACUUUAAUCCAUAGCAGUCAUCGAGCUAGGCACAAAAACAAGUUAAACAUCUUUGAAGACAACACUUGCACAGUGGACUCUAGCCUUAUAAGUAAUUCUCCCAAAAACCUUUGUAUUAGAGUCGAUAGGAUUGGGAUUUCGUUUCCUCGAUCCAUUUUUAUUAAUAACUAAGACUUCGUGUCCGCAUUUUUUAAACAUAAAAAUAGUUCUCCCAAAACGGCGAGGGUAGACUUUUGUAUAUGCGGUCGCCAUUUUUACGCCCAAAUUCAACGUUCAUAAUUUCCUUCUUACCCUCUGCAACUUGCCCCUCUUCUGUGGAUAAUCAUUGUCCAAGUUUUACUUUACUGUAUAUUUAAAACUUAACUAGCUGGCAUGGUGAAAGAGUGGAGUGAAAUAAAGCUGUCCCGUAACUAGUUAUUUGGUCGUAUAACUAGUUAUUUCAUAUUCAUUUUUGAGGUCAACACUUUUCGGUGACCGGAUAGCGGACUGCCGUACUCAAUACCGAAGACAUCUCUUUUCUAGUCCAAGUUGAGUUGCGCAGUUGAUAGCCUUGUAUCGACAAUUCAAAUGUAUCGUCUUCCCUGUUGAAUCCAUAAUAUUGAUUUCCUUAAUUGCCAUGUAACUAUGGGUAUGCUGAUGGAUGUACUGAUCAACCGGGGCUCAAUAGAUCCAAAGAUUUUGAUGUUAAUGACAAGUGGAUGUAAACAGUCAAUAUGCGAUUUGGAUCUAUCCCAUAAUUAUUACUUGAAAAGGAAUAAAGAUAGCGUCACUCUGAUGGGUGUGAAACCAAGUGAAAUAUUACCAAACUUGUCCAAAUUGAAAUAUUAUAUUUAUCUGAAUAAAAAUACUUACAUUAGGGUACUGAUCAUUUCCAGUUAGAUUUCGAUAUUUAGGCAAUGUUUCCGCUAUUUUAAGUCCAAUUUCAACCGGAAUUUCAAUCAGAAUGAGACUCAUUACUUUAUACAUUCGGAAAACAUAUGUAGUGGAAUUUUAUCCGCACGGCGUCCAAGAUUUGGAUUGAAUUCCAGCACAUAAAACAUCGACUUACAACACUUUUAGUUACCAACAUAGUUGAUAAGAAUUUCAGACAUACUAUAACUGAGUAAAUCUUUUGUAUCUAUAUGAUCAUAAUUCAAGACAAGAUUUAUACGCAAGGCAUGUGGGAACAUACACUAAUUAAUCCCAUUAACUUCCAAAACUUUGCCUGAAAUUUCCAGGUGUCCUAGUGGACAGCUAAAUCAAGCAACUCCAAUAUUCCUCCUUCCAUCUCACUAUAAAAACCCUACCCAUAGUUCCUUCACAAACCACCCAACUCCCUUUUCUUCUUCUUCUUCGAACUCUUAACAACACUAUCAACAAUGGCUUCCAAAACCAACUCAGCCCUAGCUCUCUUCCUUGCACUCAACCUUCUCUUCUUCUCCAUGGCCUCCGCUUGCGGUGGUGGCUGCCCUACCCCGAAACCAAAACCGAAACCAACUCCCACUCCCACUCCUUCCGGCGGUGGGAAAUGCCCGAUUGAUGCCCUCAAGUUGGGAGUGUGUGCCGACGUGCUUGGCUCACUGUUGAAGCUCAAAAUCGGAAACCCACCGGUCAAGCCUUGUUGCAGUUUGAUUAAUGGACUUGUCGAUCUCGAGGCUGCUGUUUGUCUUUGCACUGCCAUCAAAGCUAACCUUCUCGGGAUCAACCUCAAUGUUCCGCUUUCUCUUAGCUUGCUUCUCAAUGUUUGCGAGAAGAAGGUCCCAUCUGGCUUCCAGUGCCCUUGAGUUUAACCAGGCGUGCUUUAUAAUUAUGCACGAGUGUGUACUCUUUUAUGAGUUUUUAAAUUUGUUGUGGGUUAAGUUGUCGAAGUGUGAGUUUGGGGUUGAUUCAGUUGUGUGAUAUCAGACAUAUGAUCUGUGUGUUUGUAGAUCUAAUAUUCCACUGUUCUGUAUUGUAUGUACUUCGAAUAAUUGAGUUCUUGUUGUGUACCAUGUUCUUUCCGGCUAAUGGCACUGGCGAGGUGAUUAACCUAUAGAAAAGGAACAACAAGGUUUCAGUUAUUGAACGAUAUCAAAGAAAGUGGCAGUCUACUGCACUUGCCCAUUUCACUGCCCAACUAUCCAUUUCACUAUCAUUCUCACUGCACUGCUCAUUUCACAAUGACAGACGAUGAUGCUUCAUUUACCUGUAGAUGAAAGACCAUGAACGCCUACAACAAUGGGCAGCCUGGAGUCGGCAACAACGGAAAGGAUUACCUCUCUCUGGUCCAAACAAACCGAGCCUGUAAGCAACGAUCCAAUACUCGUUCAAUAUGCUUCAUCUUCUUACAAGGCACUUGCUUCUAUCUUGACGCAUGGGCGAGGAUAAAGCCGGAGCACGAUGCCAAACCCUUCACCGCAAGGUUUUCGGUGCAAAAGUUAAUCAAGAGGUAAAAAGCAUUGGUUAACGGACAACAACGAGACAAAAGCACACCCCUGUUUAGAUUACCUCAUGAAGAACAGAGUUGCGCUUCCACUCACCUGACCAAUAACGCUGUAAAUUUUGGAAUUAAGAGUUACUACACAGAAGAAAUCACACAUGAGACUGUCGAGGUGAUCAGAAAUAUUGUGUGGUAUGGCGGUCCAAUAGUUGGUAGGCAUGCGAUAUGUGAAAACUACACCAACACGAGCCGACCUUACCGCACCAACUUUGAGGAAGUUCUACAAAACCUACACCAAUAUUUGGUUGGCUCGUUAGAUGAGACACCACCUUCCAAGUUGCAACAUUACCCAUGCUGAACUACGGGGUGCAGUCGAAAGGUUUGAGUUCAUUUGACAGUUUGGCUUUCGUAAUGUUACUCUGGAGUUUGAUUUGAGAUGUUCUCUCGACCUCCGGGAGGAACAUGCAAUGAUAUGACCACCAACAUGCUGCUUUGCGUGGCAGAUUUCGUGAACUACGUGCUCGAGACCGGCAGCUCAAGCUAGUUCACAUCUACAGAGAGGCUAAUUCCGCUGUUGAUUAUUUAGUUCGUCCGGGUCACUCUAUCUCUUACGGGAUCCACCACAUGACCUCGUACCUUACCGACUUUAUAUGAACAAACCGGUUAUUUCAUGAUCAUUUAUCCCUACUCUAAGACAAAUUUGUACCCACUUCUAUCUGGUUGUCAUUCGUACCAGCAGAUGCUUGUUUUGAAGUUGUUAAUGAUGGAAUAUAUGUUCAUUAUUUGGAGAUGUGAAGAUCAAGCACAUAUUUUAAUAGUUAAUACCGUGUGCAUGUGGACAGCGAUAUGAUUAAUCACGAGACGAGUACUGACAAAUUAAAUUAGUGUAAUCAUGAUCACGAGACAAACAGUAAUAGAAUCAACCUCCCAUAUAUAAUCUAUUCAUGUGUUUACAUAUGAAAAUUUGAAUGCGAUAAAUCUACCUUUGAUUUUUUGGAACCAGAUUAAUUAUACGAUUAAUACCUCUUCAAAUUAAUAGCAUUUUCAUAUCCGUAUUAUUUUAAUAAUUGUUAAGUGAUUUAGAAGAUGAUGUAAUACUUUUUUNNNNNNNNNNNNNNNNNNNNNNNNNNNNNNNNNNNNNNNNNNNNNNNNNNNNNNNNNNNNNNNNNNNNNNNNNNNNNNNNNNNNNNNNNNNNNNNNNNNNNNNNAGAAAUGGGUAAUCAAUUUUUAAAAUGGAAAUUAUCAAAAAAACUAUUAUAUUUACUGUUAUUCUGAUAGAAGUUUGAGAGAAAUCGAAACUAUAAAACUACGCCUAUGUUUAUUAGAACGUAAAGUGCAAAGAAAGAUAAAUUUAAAUAAACAAUUCUUUAUUAGUUAAUUUUUAUAUUUAUAGGGAGUCAUAAAUUGUUACUGUCACAAAAGAAAACUUUUGUAUAAGAAAAUUGUCACCGAAGUUACCUCUUACAUCCUGUUUGUGGCUAUAUAUAAUUAUGAUGUCAUGAUUUGUGGAGUAGAGAAUUGGGGGAUGGUGUUGAAGCGGGAUGUGGGCGGGAUUUAGUGGACGGAGGAAUGGGCUUGAAUGAAUUAUUAUGUAAUGGGCCUGACUCGUUCCCAAGGACACGGAAGGCCGUUGCCCCACAGUUCAAAUAUAUCGGCUACAAUUUGCAUUUUAUUUUCCCAUCUCCUCAACUCCAUUACCAUACCCACAAGCCAAGUUAGAAAAUAAUUGGUAUGGUUGUUCAUGCUUGUUUUGGUGUGUUUGAUCCAUAUACAAAUAUUUUUAAUUUCUCACAAUUCAUUAAGAGAGGAUUCUGAUUGAUAUUUAUGUUAUUUACUAAUAUUUUUCGUCCUCUUAAAUGGAAGCUCUUAUAAUUAGGGAUAAGGUUGGUACAUCUGCGAUAAGGUUGGUACAGCUGCGAUAAGGCAUUUGCACAUAUUUUGUGCUCUACUAUUGGGAUUCAAAACAGAAAUCUCCCGAUUAUGUAAGGCUCUGAUACAAUGUCAUGAUCCGUUGCAUCCCAACAAUAACUCAAGUUAUUGGGAGAAGAUUCUGAUUGAUACCCUCAAACGGAAGCUCUCAUAAGAGUUGAGAUUUGGACAGCUUCGAUAAGUCAUAUGCACAGAGUGGAGCCUAUCGAGAUUCAAAACGGAGACCUCUUCGUCAUGUAUCACUCUAAUAUUAUGUCAUAAAUCGUUUUAUCUCAAUAAUUCAAAUUGCUGAAAAAAAAUUCUGAUUGAUAUUUAUAUAAUUUACUAAGGUUUCCAUACAUAUCAUCACACAUCUUCCUAUCUAUAUAAACCCCUCAGUUCCUCUUCUCUGAAACCACACAAUAGCAUCAUCUAAUAUCUUGUAUUUCACUCUUUCUCACCAUCCUAAAACAACAAAAAAUGGCGUAUUCUACCAAGACAGCAACCCUAGCUCUGUUCCUAGCCCUGAACCUCCUCUGCUUCUCAGCCUCCCCUGCCACUGCCACAGUAGACACAUGCCCGUACGACAUAAUCAGGCUUAGCGUUUGCACUGACCUGCUCGGGUAUCUGCUCAGGAUCAGGAUCGGAACCGCGCCUCCUAGCGCACCCUGCUGCACCCUCAUCACCGGGGUGGCUGAUCUCGACGCUGCUGUUUGUGUUUGCGCUGCCCUCAAAGCCAACGUUCUCGGAACCAUCACUAACCUCAAUCUUGCCCUCACCUUGCUUCUCAAUCAGUGUGGCAGGCCCGUUCCAACCGGCUUCACCUGCGCUUACUGAUCAAUCAAAAAUCGAAAUGCAUGCUUACGUAGUUUGUGUUUGAUGUCAAUUGUAUGGUGCCUAGAGGCAUCGGUUGACGUCUGUAAUGUUCUUAUACUACUAUGAAUAAAUGGAUGAAAAUCAAGCAGUUUAUUACUUUGUCUACAUCUUAUAUAUCAUGCUGUUAGUCUCCGCAAUUUCGAAAAAAAAAUCGACAACAGUUGUAUUGGGUACCAACAAAACUAUCCAUAUGAUAAUCAAAUUAUAUGUAUCAUCCAAAUACAAAGAUGUAAAAAGAGUAAAAGACAUAUUGAAACAAAUACUAUAUAGUUAAUAUUUUUCAUAUCUCAUGCGCAUACUAAAAUACAUACUUAAAAGGAUUAUCCGAGUAUCAAAUUAUAUUGUUAAUACUCUCACACGAUGACAGUUUGUCGAUUUAUGGUCAAGAUCGUAAUUUGAAAAUGCAUCAAAAUAAAAAAGAAUUACGAACUCGAGAAUUUGAACAACUUGAUUGUAUUCCCUAUAUAAUAGGACAACUACAAGCAAAUAGAUUCCAUAUAUANNNNNNNNNNNNNNNNNNNNNNNNNNNNNNNNNNNNNNNNNNNNNNNNNNNNNNNNNNNNNNNNNNNNNNNNNNNNNNNNNNNNNNNNNNNNNNNNNNNNNNNNNNNNNNNNNNNNNNNNNNNNNNNNNNNNNNNNNNNNNNNNNNNNNNNNNNNNNAGGAAUCUCAAAUAGGGAUUAAAAAAUAUGAAAUAAGAAACAAAAUAAUAGGGAUGAAUCAACACAAGUGAACAUGGCAAUUUGUCGGGCUAAAACCAUCUUCAAUAUUAAGUCUCAAAUGGCUAUAUUUGAGUUUUAUAUUUAGCAUUUUAUAUUUUUCAAAAGAUAUUAUAUGCUUGAUAGAUAUGUUUGUGCUGUUACGGAUAUUUAUGGAGAUUAGAUGAAAAGUUAUUGUAAUUAUAAAUAUUAAAUUUUAUUUUAUAACAUAUUAUAAUUAUUUAGUCCCAACUUUAGCCAAUAUAGAACAAAAAAUUAUAUUUUUAAAGCAUUUAAAACUUUAGUCUUAUACAUUAAAAAAAUUUAAUUUUAUAAUUUAGCUAUUUAAUCAUUUAAGCCUUGGAGAUGAUCUAAUAAACACAAAGUACCAAAGGUUGGCACAAAAAUUGAUGUGUCUUUUUCCAGAUGUACAGCUACAACAAAUCUGGAUCCUUUCUCAUCCUUUCUCAAUUCCCCAAAUUACCCCUCACUCGAGCACUAUAAAACCAACCCUUUCCCUCACUCACUUCCCUCACACCAAUCCCACAGUAGUAAACAUAGCAGCAAUGGCUUCCAAUGCCAACUCAACCAUUGCUCUGUUCCUAGUCCUCAACGUUCUCUUCUUCACCAUGGUCUCAGCCACACACAAUGGCUGCCCACCUCCCCCGCCGAAACCAACCGACUGCCCGCCUUCCCCAUCCAAACCGAAACCAACCCCUUCCUCCGCGAAAUGCCCCGUUGACACCCUGAAAUUGGGAGUGUGUGGCAAUGUUUUGGGCUCAUUGCUCAAGAUCAAGAUCGGGGACCCACCGGUCAAGCCUUGCUGUAGUUUGAUAGAAGGGCUAGUCGAUCUCGAGGCUGCUGUUUGCCUUUGCACCGCCAUUAAGGCCAACAUUCUCGGGAUCCACCUCAAUGUUCCGGUUUCUCUUAGCUUGCUUCUCAAUGUUUGCAGCAAGAAGGUUCCGUCCGGAUUCCAGUGCCCCUAGAUUGAUUAUGAGAACUAUUGAACUAUUUUAUGUUUCGGUUCAUUGAUCAUGAACUUAUUAUUUGGAGUUUUUGGGGCUUGGUUGUUGAAGUUGUCAAAGUGUUCAUUUCUGAGGUAACACAUAUGUUAUCUAGUUUGUAUCUGGUGAUUUCUUAUUCUUCGAUUGUGUGUACUAUGAAAGGUUGAUUUAAGUUGUGUACUAUUGGGAAAAGGUGGAAAUGAUAGGUUUGAUUGUUCUUAAU
RNAcentral lists this long non-coding RNA (8921 nucleotides) under Linum usitatissimum (flax). Its description in RNAcentral is "long non-coding RNA (LUSI_LNC002647)". Lineage: Eukaryota; Viridiplantae; Streptophyta; Magnoliopsida; Malpighiales; Linaceae. The record is from RNAcentral.